Molecule: ribosomal RNA, 430 nt
Filed under: uncultured bacterium
Lineage: Bacteria
Description: bacterial SSU rRNA
Rfam family: Bacterial small subunit ribosomal RNA
Source: RNAcentral
GUGGGGAAUAUUGCGCAAUGGGCGAAAGCCUGACGCAGCGACGCCGCGUGGGGGAUGAAUGCCUUCGGGUUGUAAACCCCUUUCAGCAGGGACGAAGCGAAAGUGACGGUACCUGCAGAAGAAGCGCCGGCUAACUACGUGCCAGCAGCCGCGGUAAUACGUAGGGCGCAAGCGUUGUCCGGAAUUAUUGGGCGUAAAGAGCUCGUAGGCGGUCUGUUGCGUCCGCUGUGAAAACUCGGGGCUUAACUCCGAGCCUGCAGUGGAUACGGGCAGACUAGAGGUAGGUAGGGGAGAAUGGAAUUCCCGGUGUAGCGGUGAAAUGCGCAGAUAUCGGGAGGAACACCGGUGGCGAAGGCGGUUCUCUGGGCCUUACCUGACGCUGAGGAGCGAAAGCGUGGGGAGCGAACAGGAUUAGAAACCCUUGUAGUCC